AUUUUCAAAUUAAUAAUAUGGAGAAAAAUCUUUUGUAUAAUUCAGUGUGAUAUACAGAUGUAUGAAAAUCUUCUUUCUCAGACCUUGGACAGCUGCUUUCAUUCAUAGUAACUAAUACUGGAAUGACUUGUUAAAGGCAGAAUCAUAUCCUGUUAAAGAAUUCUCCUGAUACCAUCUAACUAAUUAUUCUUUAUGUUAAAGGGUUUGCUGCUGGCCUCUUCCACCCACCCUACAGGAUGGUAUGAGAUUUGAAAGAAGACGAUGCAUACAGGGGAAGUCAUUUCCCUUUGUUCAGCUUUGCUGCUAUACCACUGGUUGAGGGGAGGAAAAGAAGAUUGUGGCAGCAAUACCAAUUGAAGGCAGUAACUGCUUCAUCACUCUUGUAGAGAGUAAGAAAGGAUGAUCUUGGAGGAGGAGGAGAGACUUCAGCAUGCAAACCUUCAACUGUUCGGCUUGCACCAUCAUUUUCAUUCCAUGCUGCUGGCCUUCAGAUGG
This is a non-coding RNA of Thamnophis sirtalis, 495 nucleotides long. The record is from RefSeq and is a predicted model, not a curated record. Lineage: Eukaryota; Metazoa; Chordata; Lepidosauria; Squamata; Natricidae.